GGGCCCGGGGGCACCAGAACCUCCUGCGCGGCCCCGCGUGUACGACCCGGCCCCCGCCAUGGCGGCAACUGCGGCGGAGACGCGCGUGUUCCUGGAGGUGCGGAGACGGCUGCCGAGCGCGCUGCUAAUCGUGGGGGAGCCAAGAGAAGGGCUGCCUAUGGACAUUUCCAUAACGCCUUCCUCACUCCAGAUGAGAACGUCUGACGGCUGCACAGACAUCGAGCUGCCAGCAGAGGUCAGGCUUGUGCCUUCCUCCUGCCGCGGGCUGCGCUAUGUCCCUGGAGAGGGACUGCACCUGCGGCUGCAGGCGCGGACCGAGUUCAGCACCAAACAGAUUUCACUGUUUAAUCAACGCUCACACAUCCAAGGAUGUUGCACAUUUCAUUGCCAAUCCUGUGGUGAAGCCAUAAUAAAGGACAGGAAGCUCCUGAGGAUACUGCCACUUCCAAGUGAGAACUGGGGAGCUCUAGUUGGAGAAUGGUGCUGCCAUCCUGACCCCUUUGCUAACAAGCCACUACAUCCACGAGAGAAUGACUGUCUCAUUGGUGAUUCUUUCUUCUUGGUGAAGUUAAGAAGUGACAGGUGGCAGGAACCAAAGGCAAAUACCAAAGUAAUUUGUAAGCGUUGCAAAGUAAUAUUGGGAGAGACCAUGUCAUCAGAAACCACUAAGUUUUAUAUGACUGAGAUAAUUAUUCAGCCGUCUGAGAGAAGUUUUCCCAUCCUGCCAAGGUCUCAAUUUGUACAGAGCAUUGUUGCCCAGUGUCUGGUGGAGCUCUCCUCUGCUAGGAGCACGUUUAGAUUCACCAUUCAAGGUCAGGAUGGCAAAGUGUACAUCUUGCUGUGGCUUUUAAACUCUGACAGUUUGGUCAUUGAAUCUUUGAGAAGUCCUGAAGGUAUCAAAAAAUUCCCCUUGUUGGAAGACACAUCAACAGAUUCUCCUUCUGCUGGGAAUGCUGUCAAGGUCCUUUACCAGCCAUGUGUCAAAAUUAAGAAUGAAAAGCUUGCCAGCUCGUGGGAAAGUGACAUCAGUGUCCACUCAUUGACCCUGCCCUGUGCAACCUGCUUAGAGCUGCUGUUGAUAUUAUCCAGGAGCAAUGCCACCCUGCCGCCUUCUCUUCGCCAUAUGAAUUCCUUUCAGGGAUUGCUGUACCAAGAUGAAAGCUUUGUUAUUGCCAGUCCCACUGUUCACAUCUCCCUGCUAUGCUCCAUCAGACCAGCCUCUGGGUAAAAAUCCAACAGCUCCUUAACAAAUCAAGAACACUACCAGAGAGGAAGAGAGCUUAGAGAACAGAUGCUCUUGGGGAAAGAAAUGAAGCUAAUGGCUUAAAAAAUUGAAAUGUACAAGGAGUCUUCAAAAGUUCAUGGAAAUGCAUAGUAUGAUAAACAUUAAGCAUAUUUUUAAGGGUUUUUUGCACCAAACUAAAGUCAUGCUAACUUGUUAUAAUUUGUAUGAACAUGAUCUAGUCUGAGGCACUAAUGAGGGUAAGACGUUUGGAUGAAGAUAGCAUCUAUCAGACCAACAUGAAUUCUGUUAAAUAGAAGCAAUAGCAAAUAUCCAAUUUGUAGCGAAGCUUGGGUGCAAGAAUGGUGAAAUCAUUGAUGCUUUACAAAAAGUUUAUGGGUACAAUAAAGUCAUUGCUUACAAAUGGAUAACUCAUUUUCAGAAGGGAUGGGGUGAUGUUGAAGAUGAAGCCUGCUGGAGCAAAGCAUUCAUAUCAAUCCAUGAAGAAAAAAAAAAGUUGCUUAUGCCCUAAUUGAAAGGGACCAGGAAUUAACAACAGAAACAAUAGCCAAGACCAUGAACCAAUUGAUUCACUUUACAUGAUUCUGACUGAAAAAUUACAGCUGAACAAACUUUUCCCUCAAUAGAUGCCAAAACAUUUGUCCUCAGAUUGCCUACAAAGAAAAGCACAGCUUUCAACAGAAAGUUUAAACAAGACCCUUGCUUCAAAGAAUUUUAGCAGGAAAUGAAAUGGCUUCAUCAGGACAAUCCUGAAACAGACUACAAUCAAAGCAGUGGUUACCAGGAGAUGGAAGUCGUCCAGUCAAAGCAAAAAUGCACCCAUCAAGAGCAAAGGUGAUAGCAACAGUUUUUUUUUUUUGGAAUGCUCAAGGCAUUUCACCUGUAGGCUUUCCAGAGCCAGAGAUAACAUCUAUUUAUUAUGAGACUAUAUUGAGAAAGUCAGAUCUUCACCAGAAAAUGACUGAAUAAUUGUCACCAGAGAGCCCUUCUCCACCACGAACUUGCUCCUGUUUAUUUCUCCAAUGAAACAGAGAAUUUUGCAAUAGUUUCUAUGGGAAAUCAUUUGGGAUCUACCUUACCAUUCAGAUUUGGCUCCUCUGCAUCUUUUUGUUUUCUAAUUUAAAAAUAAAAC
Molecule: RNA transcript, 2375 nt
Organism: Lepus europaeus (European hare)
Lineage: Eukaryota; Metazoa; Chordata; Mammalia; Lagomorpha; Leporidae
Gene: UBE3D
Gene name: ubiquitin protein ligase E3D
Exons: 11
Source: RefSeq, a predicted model, not a curated record